This 745-nucleotide non-coding RNA is filed under the name Koreocerus koreanus. Lineage: Eukaryota; Metazoa; Arthropoda; Insecta; Hemiptera; Cicadellidae. The record is from RNAcentral.
AAUAAGUUUGAUUCUUGCUUAUUUAUUAAUUUAUUAGAUGACUUAUAUGUUUAUUUUUUAAAUAUUUUUAUUAACAGUAAAUGUAAUUGUUUAGUUGAUUAUAUAUAGUUUUCAGUAAUUUAAUUAUAAUGGAUAAAUUUUGUGCCAGCAUUCGCGGUUAUACAAUUCAUUAAAAUUAAUAUUUUAUUUUUUUUAAUAAUAAUAUUGUUGAUUUUUUAUAGAUUUUAUUUAGGUGGAAUUUAUUUUAUCUUUUUAAUCUUUUUUUAUGUUUACUAAAUUGUAAUGUUAAACUAGGAUUAGAUACCCUAUUAUUUAUUUAAUUUAAAUUUGUUAAUGAAUAUUAAUAGUUAUGUUCUAUAAAACUCAAAGAAUUUGGCGGUAAUUUACAUCUUUUUAGAGGAACCUGUAAGUUAAUUGAUAAACCACGAUGAUUUUUACCUUUAUUUUUAUUUGUAUAUCUCUAUAAUUGUGAAUGUUAUUUAAGUAAAUUUUCUUUUAUUUUUAUUAAUAAUGUUAGGUCAAGGUGCAGUUUUGUAAAGGUAGUUAUGGGUUACUUUAAUAUUAAAUUUAAUGUUGAUUUUUUCUAUAGUCUAGAAAUUUUAGUUUUAGUAGGAUUUGAUAGUAAUUUUAUUUAAUUAUUUAUUUUGAAUUUAGUUUUAAUUUAUGCACAUAUCGCCCGUCACUCUCUUUAACAUGGGAUAAGUCGUAACAAAGUAGGUGUACCGGAAGGUGUAGCUAGAAAGUU